UACGUAGGGGGCAAGCGUUGUCCGGAUUUAUUGGGCGUAAAGAGCGUGUAGGCGGCUAGGCAGGUCCGCUGUGAAAACUCGAGGCUCAACCUCGAGACGUCGGUGGAAACCUUCUAGCUAGAGUCCGGAAGAGGAGAGUGGAAUUCCCGGUGUAGCGGUGAAAUGCGCAGAUAUCGGGAAGAACACCCGUGGCGAAGGCGGCUCUCUGGGACGGUACUGACGCUGAGACGCGAAAGCGUGGGGAGCGAACAGG
RNAcentral lists this ribosomal RNA (253 nucleotides) under uncultured bacterium. Its description in RNAcentral is "partial 16S ribosomal RNA". It matches the Rfam family "Bacterial small subunit ribosomal RNA", at positions 524 to 776 of the family's 1533-position model. The record is from RNAcentral.